ACGAACGCUGGCGGCGUGCUUAACCCAUGCCCGUCGAACGGAAAGGCCCUGCUUUUGUGGGGUGCUCGAGUGGCGAACGGGUGAGUAACACGUGAGUCACCUGCCCUUGACUUUGGGAUAACUUCAGGAAACUGGGGCUAAUACCGGAUAGGAGCUCCUGCUGCAUGGUGGGGGUUGGAAAGUUUCGGCGGUUGGGGAUGGACUCGCGGCUUAUCAGCUUGUUGGUGGGGUAGUGGCUUACCAAGGCUUUGCCGGGUAGCCGGCCUGAGAGGGUGACCGGCCACAUUGGGACUGAGAUACGGCCCAGACUCCUACGGGAGGCAGCAGUGGGGAAUAUUGCACAAUGGGCGGAAGCCUGAUGCAGCAACGCCGCGUGCGGGAUGACGGCCUUCGGGUUGUAAACCGCUUUCGCCUGUGACGAAGCGUGAGUGACGGUAAUGGGUAAAGAAGCACCGGCUAACUACGUG
This 467-nucleotide ribosomal RNA is filed under the name uncultured bacterium. RNAcentral describes it as "partial 16S ribosomal RNA". It matches the Rfam family "Bacterial small subunit ribosomal RNA", at positions 29 to 507 of the family's 1533-position model. The record is from RNAcentral.